This 208-nucleotide unclassified non-coding RNA is filed under the name Hevea brasiliensis (rubber tree). The record is from RNAcentral. Lineage: Eukaryota; Viridiplantae; Streptophyta; Magnoliopsida; Malpighiales; Euphorbiaceae.
GGUGUGCCUUUUAUAAAGUUAAUCUGUCAUUAUAAGGUGGAGAAAAAAAAACACUUCUGGUUUAGUUUGGAUAAUAAAAUGAAUAGAGAACAAUUAUAGAAUAAUCUAGUACAUUCAAUUUAAUUCAUAUAUGAUCAGAUUCUCAAAUGGGCAUUUUCAGAUUGGUCAAAUUGAGUUGGUAGUAUGAGUGCAGCAAGUCCUCCUUGAG